CCCUGACAGAAUGUUCCACGUAGAACAAUCUGACACUAGCCACGACAGGAGAUACUCAUG
This 60-nucleotide non-coding RNA is filed under the name unclassified sequences. RNAcentral's name for it is "Mu-gpT-DE RNA". It matches the Rfam family "Mu-gpT-DE RNA". The record is from Rfam by way of RNAcentral.